ACGAAAUCAAACCAUAUUGCCCUAUUCCAGUUCGGUUAUAUUUCGUUAAGUUUUCUCAAAUUGAAAUAUGGCAUUCAUAAACUGUAAAUGACUUUUUAUUAUUUAAAUAGUAACAGAAAAAUUAGUAGUUUAAUAUCAACAAUUUGUGAUUGGCCAUAACAUUCGGCAAACACUUUCCCAUGAAAGCGUGCAUGACGUCUUUUAGUAACACCCAUUCUCGAAAACGGUAGUAAUAUUGUUAUCUUGCUCAAGAUUUCACUUCAUCAUUAUCUUCUUGCUGUGUGGUUCUCUUUCUUGCUGCCUUUGUCUGAGAGAUCUGUUUGUUCAGAUUUUGCAUCACAACAUGGCAGCUAAAUCUAGCGCAGCGACUAAUGUAAGUAAUCAAAGUGGCCAUCCAUUGAAGAUCAAAUGGCUAAUCUCGUUAAGCGAGUGGGGGAGGUUCAGAGGAUGAUCAUUGCGAGCCCCCUUUACUGGGAAUCAAUAGAACUCCUUGCAAAAGACGAGACUUUACGAGGCGUAUUCUAUGCGAUUCCAGAUGGAUGUAAGCUUCAUUUUCUAAAACGAAAGAUAAGAGCCUCCAACGAGAAAGAGGCUGAACCCUUUUAUGAGAAUCAUAAUAAUGACUCCUGGCAUCUCCGGUCUCCUUCCUAUAAACCUCCUUGGUAGAAUUGUAGUUUUUUUUUUCUGUUGUGGAAUAUGUUUCGUGAUCAGUGUUUAUUUCUUGUGCUUGAAUUUGAUGUUGUCUGGAUUAUGAACUUGGCUUUGGUAGAAUGUAAGAACUAUCUCAUUAGUUUUUCUACAAAAAAAAAGAACUAUCUUCAUUGGUGGUUCUUUCAAAUUA
Brassica napus (rape) is the source of this 841-nucleotide long non-coding RNA. RefSeq lists it as uncharacterized. Lineage: Eukaryota; Viridiplantae; Streptophyta; Magnoliopsida; Brassicales; Brassicaceae. The transcript has 2 exons. The record is from RefSeq and is a predicted model, not a curated record.